GGCAUAUAGCUCAGUUGGUAGAGUGCUUGCCUCACAUGCACAGCCCUGGGUUCAAUCCCCAGCACCA
This 67-nucleotide transfer RNA is filed under the name Marmota monax (woodchuck). RNAcentral's name for it is "tRNA.Val". Lineage: Eukaryota; Metazoa; Chordata; Mammalia; Rodentia; Sciuridae. The record is from RNAcentral.